UCUGGGCCAUUUUCUUCCUUCCGAAAACGGGAGCUGAGAAAUAGCACUGCUUCACCUCGAGGUUUGAGAUUCUGAGGCUGAUCUGUGUGAAGGGCUUAAUCCUGAGCGUUGCACCCAGUGAAGAGCUAGCUGACAGGGUUUCUCUGUGGAGCCCUGGCUGGCCUAGAACUCCAGAGAUCCACCUGCCUCUGCUUCCUGGCUGCUGGAUUACAGACCUGUUCCACCAAUGUCCAACUCCGUGUCUCUGCUUCUUAACCACAGUGGACCCCAAGUCGCCAAUGUUUUUCAUUGACGCUCAGCAUGUAGUCACCGUGGAUGGGUAGACUGAACACCAAAGGGUGAGCCAUGAGAUGAACCUGCUACCUCACAUAUGGCUGUGAGAGGAAGAGGCAGGCACUGUGAAGGUGCUGGGGUUUCGUUUGCAACAAGACAGUUAUGGUGCAACUGUUGCCGCAGAUUUUUUUUUCCCCAGCCAGAAUCUCUACAAACUUCUGGUCUCCAAAUACCAAAAUGGCCCUAGGGCAAGAUGUAACAGGCUAUCAUGAUGACUCAGCAAGUAUGGGUGCCUGCUGUCAAGUCCUUAGACAUGAGUGUCCUGGCACACAGCUUGUACACGCAUGUGCACAGGAGUACAUACACACAGAAUGCUCUAGAGCCUGGCUUGCUGUAAUCUGUAAAUUAUAAACUAUCUUUUCUUAGUCAAGGUUUCUAUUCCUGCACAAACAUCAUGACCAAGAAGCAAGUUGGGGAGGAAAGGGUUUAUUCAGCUUACACUUCCACAUUGCUGUUCAUCACCGAAGGAAGUCAGGACUGGAACUCAAGCAGGUCAGGAAGCAGGAGCUGAUGCAGAGGCCAUGGAGGGAUGUUACUUCCUGGCUUGCUCAGCUUGCUCUCUUAUAGAACCCAAGACCAUCAGCCCAGGGAUGGCACCAUCCACAAUGGGCUGGGGUCCUCCACUCUUGAUCAUUAAUUGAGAAAAUGCCAUACAGCUGGGUCUCAUGGAGGCAUUUCCUCAAGGGAGCAAGGCAUUUCCUUUCUCAGUGAGAACUCCAGCUUGAGUCAAGUUGUGCCAUAAAACGAGCCAGUGCAUAUCUCCAAACUGACUUUACCCAGUGUCUCAAGUCACUCACGGGUGCUUUUUCUUCUUGACUUCCUCCUCUAGGGCCAUGGCUCUCAACCUUCCUAAUACUGUGGUGACCCCACCACCACCAUAAAAUUAUUUCGUCGCUACUUCGUAACUAUAACUAUCUGAUAUACCGUAUAUCUGACCCCCAAAGGGGGAGACCCACAGGUUGAGAACCGCUGCUCUAGCAUGAUACAGGCAUCCGGAAACAACUUUAAAUGAGUCCAUAACCUGGAGUGGCCUCGCAUCUGUUACACACACCCAAAAUCACUUGAGGAGGCAGGAAACGAUCCAUAAAGAUGGCUCCCAUCAGAACUGCAUCCACUGUGUCCCUGAGGCAGCGGGCAGGACCCAAGAGCUGAUCUUUCAGCAGGAAAUGGUACCUGGGAGGAUUCACUAUCAUUAGACUAAGGGAAGCCCAGAAAUCAGACUGUUCUGCAUACUGCAAGCAGGGGAAGGAGCAAGUGGGGCCUUACUGACCAGCUAACGAGAGCCACUCUGCGCCCAGCAGCCUAGAUCUCCAUAGGAAGGGCACCAGGGCCUACAGGUCUGGGUUGACUUAAAACCCUGGCCCUGAGUACCUGUUGAGUCCCAUGAACCUCCAAAGAGACUGUCCUGCUAGCAGUCAGGCAUGCCAGAGUGGGUGAGAGGUCUCUUGUUUUGUGCUGUGUCAAUUCCUACAUGAUUCAGGUUGUGAAACACGGUGGGUCAGCCACAGGAAACAUGGGAGAGCUGGUGAGUCACUGUCACCAGACAGGAAAGCACCUGCAGAGGGCUACAGCCACUGCUGCAUCUCUUGGGGCCACUGGAAGGAGAUGGGCUCACCCCUAGUACAGGGAAAGAAUGCUGGGUGGAUAUUCAGGACUGCCUCAUGCCAAGCCUAGAGCAUCAAACCUUAGAAUCCCCAUCACCCGGAAAAGCCAAGCUUCUAGAACAUUCUUUCACCGAGAUAAUGCAGGUUGCAAAUACAAAGGGACAGGUGGUCCUGCAGCCUCAUCCAUUCCUGCCCCAAGGCAAUGAUUUGUCCUCAAGUGAGCUCAGUGCCCACUCCAGAGGCCUGAGACACUCCAGGUCCUUCCAUGCCAAUGACUAUGAUAAGGUAUCCUAGUGAAAGAAGAUACCUCACAUGUAUCUGCCAGGCCCAUUCCAUCUUCUCCCAUAUCCACAGACAGAGGAGGGCAAGUAGCAGACAUAAGGCCCCAAAUGAUGCAGACCAGGGGCAGCUGUUCAAGAGGAAGAGGCUCCACUCUUACAACUGACUGUUAGGUAUCCAUGUGUUUGAAGGCACAGAAAGUCAGGGCUUGGGGAGGUAGCUCGGUGGGUUAAGUACUUGCCUUCCAAACCUGAGGACUUACGUUCAAUCCACAGAGCCCAUGUGAAAGCCCACAGGUGGUGGUUUAACAGUAGACCCUCGCAUGGGCCUCAAGGGCUCCCGUACUUGCACACCAUAUCUGGACAUGGGAACAUGAACUCACACAAAGGCACAGGAAGAAACCGCUGGGUCUGGGCUAAGCAUGCACACCACUUGUCCUUACGCCUUCCACUACUGGCUCAGCGUACGCUGCGUUCACACCAGCAACCCAAGAAGAUGAAGUCAAAGUGGGAGUGUGUGGGUUCCACACAGAUGCUUAAUUCUCUGGAGUAGCCUGAUCAUGGUGGGCUUCCCUGUCUCAAGGCCAACAACUAGAAGUGGUCUCCACAAAUAAAAGGUGGGAGAGCCACAAAAGCCAUGAGUUGGACAGCCUUCGGGGAGGGGCAAGGGAGUGACAAGACACAGGUUUGGGAAACAGGUCAGUCAUGGGAAGGGGGUUUCAGCACAGGGAGUGAGCGCAUCACAAAAUUUCGUAAGGAGAGGAAGUUUUGUAGCAACAUUGCCCCAACCCGCAAGCCCUACCCAGCCCUACCCAGCCCAUCCAUUGGCUAUACUCAGCCUCAUCUUAACCUCCACUAACAUACAAGGAGCCUGUGUAGCCUCUGGACCUAGCCGUACAGUCCCCUGUGCAGAGGACUCCAGAGGAGAGCGGGGAGCUGGGGCCUGAGAGCUAUGCCUUGCAAUCCCUCAAGUUCAAGGAGAUGCCAGCUUGGAGAUAUUUAUCUCUAAGGUGGCUUCAAAGCAAAACUAAUCUCUUAGCAUACGCUCACCCAUCAGGAAAGGCUAAGCAAAUAACAGGGGCAGGGUGUGCAACGCAAGCAUUAAGCCAAGGCAUGCCAGCCACUCUUGGCAAGUACAGACAAACACAAUACAGCACUAAAUGCAAAACAAUAGGAGAGCACUUAAAUGCAGGGCUACUCGAUAUAAUCACAGUCCCGAGGGUGAAGCCUGGAGGCUGGGCCAGGCAGCUCCACACGGACCCACACCUGGAGAGGUAGGUAGCAGUUCCUGCUUUCAAGGUACAUGAGGGUCUCACACAGGCAGCCCCUAGGCUGAUCAGGGUGUGGUUACUUGCACACAAGCGGAAUGACCAGUGUUCAGUUCUGGAAGGUGGGCUUUUAAAGGCACUUUAAGCAUCCUCUUAGCACUCUUCUGGGUCUUUUACAUAUGUGGCUGGGGUCUCCUGUCAAUACUGACCUUAGUUCCAAGGGCACUGUUUCCAGCCACAGCCGCUUCCCACCUUGGCAUCCUCUCUUCUGAUGCACCUUGCCUCAGUAUCCCCAAAAGGCAUUCCUGACACCUGUAGAGAUUCGGCCUCAUCUUGUAGAGAGCCGUGCCCUCAAAACUCCAGAGCCCGGUGCACACUGAGGUCCACCCCACAGGCAGUUUAGCACCUUGGGCCCCUGCCUGUUAUCUUUUGUGCUGUUCAGCUCUGACCUGUGCCUCCAUCAUCCUCAUGCCUGUGCUCCAAAACUCAUUAUCUCCCAUUACACAGAGUCACAGUUAGACCAAGUGUACCAGCUGCAACCUGGGCCUAGCUUAGCUUCCAUUACCCGGUAGUGCCGGCCACCACAGGGUUGCAGUAAAGUUACUGAAAUGGAAUACUGCUGGCGGCUUAAUUCACCUGCUGAUCCUCAGGUGGCCCAGGAGAGAAAUAAAUGUGGCCCAAUAAAAAUCCAUUAAGUUUCCUACUUGGGAGGCAGAGACAGGCAGAUCUCUGUGAGUUUGAGGCCAGCCUGGUUUACAAAGUGAGUUCUAGGCCAGCUAAGGCGCCACAGUGAGACCCUGUCUCAAAACAAACAAAAAGAGCUGGAGAGAUGGCUCAGCAGUUAAGAGCACUGACUGCUCUCCCAGAGGUCUUGAGUUCAAAUCCCAGCAACCACAUGGUGGCUCACAACCAUCUGUAAGGAGAUCUGAUGCCCUCUUCUGGUGUGUCUGAAGACAGCAACAGUGUACUUAUUUAUAAUAAAUAAAUCUUAAAAAAAAAAAAAAACAAACAAAAAACCCUAUAGGCUCACUUAGAGUUUACUAGGCCAUGUGGUUCUUGGGUGUAAGUUCUAUAUAUGACAACACUAGGUAAAAAUGUCAACAGUCUAGACAUGCCUGAAGGGGAAGCAAUUUAAAAACCAACUCUCCGGGGCUGGGGAUUUAGCUCAGUGGUAGAGCGCUUACCUAGGAAGCGCAAGGCCCUGGGUUCGGUCCCCAGCUCCGAAAAAAAGAACCAAAAAAAAAAAAAAAACCAACUCUCCAACUGGAAAAGAGAGCUCAGUGGCUAAAAGUGCCCACUGAUCCUGCAGGGGAGUCCCCCGCGCACGCACACAGAGAGAGAGAGAGAGAGAGAGAGAGAGAGACAGAGAGACAGAGAGAGACAGAGACAGAGAGAGACAGACAGAGAGAGAGAGAGAGAGAGAGAGAGAGAGAGAGAGAGAGAGAGAGGUCUUUAAAAAAAACAAAAAGGGGGGCUGGAGAGAUGGCUCAGCGGUUAAGAGCACCCGACUGCUCUUCCAGAGGUCAUGAGUUCAAUUCCCAGCAACCACAUGGUGGCUCACAACCAUCUGUAAAGAGAUCCAAUGCCCUCUUCUGGUGUAUCUGAAGACAGCUACAGUGUACUUACAUAUAAUAAAUAAAUAAAUCUUAAAAAAAAAAAAAAAAAAAAAAAA
This is a non-coding RNA of Rattus norvegicus (Norway rat), 5155 nucleotides long. The record is from RefSeq and is a predicted model, not a curated record. NCBI's taxonomy places the organism in Eukaryota, Metazoa, Chordata, Mammalia, Rodentia, Muridae.